Molecule: long non-coding RNA, 2787 nt
Filed under: Homo sapiens (human)
Lineage: Eukaryota; Metazoa; Chordata; Mammalia; Primates; Hominidae
Description: HSALNT0107788
Source: RNAcentral
UAGUUUUUUUCUGAGGUCUUUGUAGAAUGAUGUUGCAAUUGUACUGUUCACAUUUCAAGAAAAUAUUGACUACUAUAAUUGCACGCAUUACCAAAGAAGGUGCUUGCUUCCCCUUCACCUUGUGCUAUGAUUGUAAGUUUCCGGAGGACUCCCAAUCAUGCUUCCUGUUAAGCAUGCAGAACUCAGUUUUGAAAUGAAACAACAAAAUAACAUUUUUAAAUCAGAAAUCAAUGUUUGAUUCUGCAGAUCACAAAUGGUGCCAUAUUUUUAUAGCAACACAAAGAAAUGUUGUAAGUGUGAAAUUACUUACUUGGCCUUUUUAUGGAUUCAUAUGGCCUUACAUGGAAUGAAGGAAAGAAUAAAAAAUGGAUAUGAUCCUGACCAUGUUGAACAACAGAUUUUCAAGACUGUCAGAAAAGGACCACAGUGCGUAUAUCAGCUAAUUUAUGUCAAGAUGGCAUUUUUGUGUAGUUAUAAAAAUGAAGAAUAUUAUUUGUACAGAGCUUUAACUUGUACUGAGGCCUUCCACAAAUGAUAUGUCAUUGAGUUCUCACAAUAAGUUACAUUCUUUGCAAAUUGUUUUGUGAAAUUCUAUAUACAUUUCACAAAUGAAGAACGUGAGGUUCAGAGAAUUUUUGCAAAUUAAUGACCAACCAUAGAUCUAGUAAGUUUCAGAGUUAGUACCUAAACCUAAACUUUGCCUCUUUAUUCUUUAUUCCCCAGUACUUGAACAGUUAACAAAGCAUUUAUUCUCUAGCAGGAAGUUACUUUGGCCUUCUAUAUUUAGUUUUGAACUUACCAUUGAAUAAUUUCCAUAAUAGGCCAGGCAUGGUGGCUCACAACUGUGAUCUCAGUCCUUUGGGAGGCUGAGGCAGGAGGAUUGCUUGAACCUAGGAAUUCAAGACCAGCCUGGGCAAGAUGGCAAGACCCUGUUUCUACAAAAAUAAAAUAAAGUAAAAUUAGUUGGGCAUGGUGGUGCAUGCAUGUAGUCCCAGUUACUCAGGAGGAUGAGGUGGGAGGAUUGCUUGAGCUCAGCAGUUUGAGGUUAUGGUGAGCUAUGAUCAUGCCACUGCAAUCCAGGCUGGGUGACAGAAAUAGAGACCCUGUCUUUUUAAAUAAUAAUAAUAAUACCCAUGAUAAAAAUACUUGUAUUUUAUUACUUUUCUUUUAAUAUUUAUAACUCAGUGUGUGUCAGACUUUUUGCUAAGUCUUUCAUAUAUAUAAAUAAUAGAUAGAUAGAUAGAUAGAUAGAUAGAUAGAUAGAUAGAUAGAUGCUCUAUGAGGUAUUGAUUAUCUGGACAUGAAUUCUCUGCUACAUUCCUAAAGAAAUACUCACUUUUCCCUAUCUUAUUCUGUCUGACAUCAAGCUACUACUAGUCACACCAUUUAGGACACUCAAUUUAGAUUAUUUGAUCUAUUGUUCAUCUAUAACAAGAUUCCAACCAGUGCCAACUCCCUGUCAAUGCAAAAUUCACUGAAAUUUUACUUGCCCCACCUAUUCACUUUUCCCUUUAGCCUACAUGUAACCUGAAAAUCACCUAUCAAUAAUGCUUUUGAGAAAAUAAUUAUCUAAUUGGAAAUCUAUACCCUUUGAACAAUAUUUCCUCAAUCCUUCACUCUCCUCCAUCCCCAGUCUCUGGUAAUCACUGUUCUAUUCUCUACUUCCAUGAGUUUGACUUUAUUAGAGUCCACAUAUAAGUGAGAUCAUGACGUAUUUGUCUUUCUGCGCCUGGCUUGUUUCACUUAGCAUAAUGUCCCCUAGGUUCAUUCAUGUUGUCAGAGAUGACAGGAUUUUCUUCUUUUGUAAAGUGGAAUAGUAUUCCAUUGUAUACAUAUAUGUGUAUAUGACAUUUUUAAAUCCAGUCAUCUGUUGAUAAUCAUUGCACAUUAUAUACAAAUUCAACAUACCACAUUACACCUCAUAAAUGCAUGCAAUUAUGAUUUAUCAAUUAAAAAUAAUAUUAAUAAAAAGAGAUAGUUUUUUAUAUUAAUAGAAACCUAUGUCCCACAUAUUUAUUAGUACUGAAUAUGUAUAUAAUCUGACUACUACAUCUCCAUCUCAUUGAAUAUCAGGGUUCAGGUUUAUAUGAAAGCAUUUUUUCUCAUCUCCAAAACUGCAUUUGAAUUCCUUUGGAAGCUAUGAAUUGGAUUUAGAAAACAAUGACAGACUUCCAAAACAGACAGGGAUAUUUUUCAGUUAUAAUUUUUCAGGUAAUUCUGACUUUCUAUGUUAAUUUUCUAACUCAGUGUUUUCCACUAAUUUAUAAAGGAGAACUGUAACCUUAAUAUAUGCAUUUUCCUCAUAGCCAAAAUUGUUGAGCUGUUGAAAUCUAAACAACAUUUAAAAUAUCUAUCAGGGAGGGAGAUGAGCCUUUAAGUUUUGAAAUCUAAUCUAAGAUGAUACUUCAUAAACUUUUACUUACUGAGUUUAUAAAAAUGGGCUGUUUUAAAAAAUAUGUAGACUUUCUUGUCAAAGAGCCUGUCUUUGUUGUCUCUGAUAUCUAAUUAUUCCCCAAAGUAAUCUCUUUGUAUCCUUUCCUCCAAAACAAGUAUGUGACAAUCUGCUCCUCAGAUAAAAGAACAAGGAAAGAAUGGUAUAUGUUCUCAUUCAAAAUAAAUAUAAAAGAUAAAAGAAAUGAAGUGUAAUAACAAAUCCUAAGUGAAAAAAAAUAAGAUUUUAAAAAAUUAUUCCAACUGGGGAAAAGAACUAUUAAAUGUAUGUAUUUUAUUUAUAUUGUCUUAUCCGGAGUGGAAGGUGUGCUGACGCCUUCCACAAGUUGUUGUUCC